CUCUCCCUCCCUCUCCCCUGAUGUCGUUGAGGUGCCUCCUCCUCACAGCCUCUUUCAUCCACCCACCGCCGCAAUUUCCAAUAUUUAAGGCGCCAAGCCGCUAUUUCAGCAUCCGGCUCGACCAAUCAAGCCGGUCGAACCGCUGAGCCGCCUCCGCCUUCAUGUGGUGGACGUUAGCCAAGAUGUGGGCCUGCAGCUUGCAACUGGCCUUGAAGAAAUCUGGACACCGUCUUCUCAAACGACUCCAUAUUUUCCGUGAAUUGUAUGGUCUCGUACAAGUUCCAGCGCGGCGUCGCGAGGACUUUUCGGGCCAGCUGAAGGCUGUUCUGUAGAACUUCGGAGAAGGCGAUUUAUUGGAUUAUGGGGCGGAGUUCCUCGAUUGAGGAGAUGAGUUUUAGGCGGUUCCUCUUCUGUGGCAUGAUCUUCCUUCCUUUUUUUUUUGUCUACUUGAUUUUAUUUUGUGUUGCAUGUUUACUCUGAUAGGUAAAGCCGGCUAGAGUUGAAGUUCGUUGUGGACACGUGUCAAAAUCUGAUUAAGUCACAGAGAGGCCUUAGAAAGAGUGGGUCAAAGUGGAUAUCCAACUCUGUUAUAUAUCCCAGCAUCCAACUCUGGUCUUGCUAAGUUGAAAACAUAAAUUCUA
Molecule: long non-coding RNA, 641 nt
Organism: Pyrus x bretschneideri (Chinese white pear)
Lineage: Eukaryota; Viridiplantae; Streptophyta; Magnoliopsida; Rosales; Rosaceae
Exons: 3
Source: RefSeq, a predicted model, not a curated record